UACGGAGGAUGCAAGCGUUAUCCGGAUUCAUUGGGUUUAAAGGGUGCGUAGGCGGAAUAAUAAGUCAGCGGUGAAAGCCUGUGGCUCAACCAUAGAAUUGCCAUUGAUACUGUUAUUCUUGAGUAUAGUUGAAGUAGGCGGAAUGUGUAAUGUAGCGGUGAAAUGCUUAGAUAUUACACAGAACACCAAUUGCGAAGGCAGCUUACUAAGCUGUUACUGACGCUGAGGCACGAAAGCGUGGGGAGCAAACAGGAUUAGAUACCCUGGUAGUCCACGCUGUAAACGAUGAUCACUCGUUGUUGGCGAUACACCGUCAGCGACUGAGCGAAAGCAAUAAGUGAUCCACCUGGGGAGUACGGUCGCAAGACUGAAACUCAAAGGAAUUGACGGGGGCCCGCACAAGCGGAGGAACAUGCGGUUUAAUUCGAUGAUACGCGAGGAACCUUACCUGGGCUUGAAAGGGGAAUGACCUCCCGGGAAACCGGGAUUCUCUUCGGAGCAUUCUCCUAGGUGCUGCAUGGUUGUCGUCAGCUCGUGCCGUGAGGUGUCGGGUUAAGUCCCAUAACGAGCGCAACCCUAUUGUUAGUUGCCAGCGGGUAAUGCCGGGAACUCUAACGAAACUGCCGGUGUAAACCGAGAGGAAGGUGGGGAUGACGUCAAAUCAGCACGGCCCUUAUGUCCAGGGCUACACACGUGUUACAAUGGCCGGUACAAAGGGCAGCUACUUGGUGACAAGAUGCUAAUCUCUAAAACCGGUCUCAGUUCGGAUCGAAGUCUGCAACUCGACUUCGUGAAGCUGGAUUCGCUAGUAAUCGCGCAUCAGCAAUGGCGCGGUGAAUACGUUCCCGGGCCU
Molecule: ribosomal RNA, 853 nt
Filed under: uncultured bacterium
Lineage: Bacteria
Description: bacterial SSU rRNA
Rfam family: Bacterial small subunit ribosomal RNA
Source: RNAcentral